GUCACCGUGUUAGACAAGGCGUAUCUCUACAAAGUGCUGAACAAUAUGUGGAAGAUGCUCAACAACAUCCUGAUCUGUCCCAAGAAAAAGGCACAGAUCUUUUGGCGCAUAAAAAAUUGCCUGCAGCAGAAAAACCUUGUGAUAAUCUGAUGACUUUAAAGGUUACCUAUAGAGGCGAAGCAGAAAAGCCUUGUGAUAAUCCGAUGACCUUAAAGGUUACCUAUAGAGGUGAUAUCAUUAAGUUUCAGCUUUCCCCUUCAUCAACCAGGGUAGAACUGGAGGUGGAAGUGGAAAAGAGGUUUAACAUAUCACUUCAAAGGUGUUCCAUCAAGUAUCAAGAUGACGACGACGAUUGGAUUUUGAUAACUAGUAAUUCAGAUUUGAGGGCUGGUAUGAAAUCAUUAAGAGUGUUUUUUCUUUGCCAGUUAUAUUUGUUGUAUGUCUUUGAGCUCAUUAUAAAUAAUAGAGAAAUCUAAUUUGAAAACCCUUUUGGACUGUUUAAUAUCAGUUGCUUCAGAAAAAAAUGAUUUAAGUGCCACUAAUGGCAUUUAUAUAUAAACUUAUUUAUAAUCGUUGAGCUAAGUAACUCUUCAUCACACCUUUUUGGGUGCGACCCUUCACCGAACUCUGCUCGAAUGUUCAAUGCUCUGUGAAUCGAGCUGUUUUUUUUUUUGGGUUGGUAUUGAGAGAUAUUGGGAUAGAAAUAUUGGUGUUCAGGAUUAUCCUUAAUUUCGAGUUUAUUGUAGUGUGAUUUGACAGAUAAAAUUACCAUAACAUGUGUUUCCACCAUAACCGUUCUUGUAUAGUACAGUAGAUAAUUGUUUAUCAGUAUUUAU
Molecule: long non-coding RNA, 836 nt
Filed under: Nicotiana benthamiana
Lineage: Eukaryota; Viridiplantae; Streptophyta; Magnoliopsida; Solanales; Solanaceae
Description: long non-coding RNA (NBEN_LNC013374)
Source: RNAcentral